RNAcentral lists this unclassified non-coding RNA (293 nucleotides) under uncultured Dehalococcoidia bacterium. RNAcentral's name for it is "contains 16S-23S intergenic spacer region". Lineage: Bacteria; Bacillati; Chloroflexota; Dehalococcoidia. The record is from RNAcentral.
GGACUACUCGGGUUUCUAAUCCGGUUCGCUCCCCACGCUUUCGCGUCUCAGCGUCAGGUAGAGCCCAGAGAGCCGCCUUCGCCACUGGUGUUCCUCCCGAUAUCUACGCAUAUCACCACUACACCGGGAAUUCCACUCUCCUCUACUCUCCUCAAGUCUGCCAGUAUCCAAGGACCUCUCCCAGUUGAGCCGGGAGCUUUCACCCUAGACUUAACAGACCGCCUGCACGCCCUUUACGCCCAGUAAAUCCGGACAACGCUUGCCACCUACGUAUUACCGCGGCUGCUGGCACC